Molecule: long non-coding RNA, 725 nt
Organism: Amphiprion ocellaris (clown anemonefish)
Lineage: Eukaryota; Metazoa; Chordata; Actinopteri; Pomacentridae
Source: Ensembl
AGAUAAUAUAGAAGACAGCGCGCUAGCGUAUCUAGUCUUCUAUAUAUAUCUGUGGUAGGCACGUCUGGUAGCAUCUCUGGCUGCUGUUGACCUUGUUUUUGGUGUAAAACACGGUGGAAGCUGAAUUAGUGAGGAUGACUCCUGCUCCUGUCAUCUCUAAACUCCUCACACAUCUUUACCUGCACAUGAGGAAAAUCACUCCUGUAGAAUGCAGACAUUUCUGUUGUGUUGUAGACGUCACUUGUUGAUGCUCCAUUCAUGAGGGUAGCACCAUCUGUUGGGAAAACAUCGUACAACAGGACACAGAGUUAUCGUGAUUUGAUGAAACUUAGAAAGAGGUAUGUAUAUGUAUAGAAGUACUUACAAAAAUGAAAUAUCUAUUAAAAAAAUUUAUUUUCCUGAUGUGUGUACAUUAUUUUGGCUGACUCUAAACUUAUUGAGAACAAAACUGUCAUUUAAUUGUUGCUCUGAAAGCUUCUUUAGUGAAAACUGGCUGGUGUUCUGCUUUGAAACAAACUGCUGUUGAGGUCUGUGUUUUUAGGUUUAACCCCACAGUUUCUGAAUGAACUGGUAGGUUUUUUUUUCCCUGAUCAAUGUGGACGUUCUAAUUGAUGGUAACAUUUACUGAUCAUAUAAUCAGCAUGACAAUAUAACAGUAUAACAUUCUGACCACCUGACUAAUACUGUGUUGGUCCCUUCAUGCUGCUAAAACUCCUCUGACCCAG